GACCGGGAUAACCCUGGGAAACUGGGGAUAAUACUGGAUAGGCAAUUUUUCCUGUAAUGGUUUUUUGUUUAAAUGUUUUUUCGCCUAAGGAUGGGUCUGCGGCCGAUUAGGUAGUUGGUUAGGUAAUGGCUUACCAAGCCGUUGAUCGGUACGGGUUGUGAGAGCAAGAGCCCGGAGAUGGAACCUGAGACAAGGUUCCAGGCCCUACGGGGUGCAGCAGGCGCGAAACCUCCGCAAUGUGAGAAAUCGCGACGGGGGGAUCCCAAGUGCCAUUCUUAACGGGAUGGCUUUUCAUUAGUGUAAAGAGCUUUUGGAAUAAGGGCUGGGCAAGACCGGUGCCAGCCGCCGCGGUAACACCGGCAGCUCUAGUGGUAGCAGUUUUUAUUGGGCCUAAAGCGUCCGUAGCCGGUUUAAUAAGUCUCUGGUGAAAUCCUGUAGCUUAACUGUGGGAAUUGCUGGAGAUACUAUUAGACUUGAGACCGGGAGAGGUUAGAGGUACUCCCAGGGUAGAGGUGAAAUUCUGUAAUCCUGGGAGGACCGCCUGUUGCGAAGGCGUCUAACUGGAACGGUUCUGACGGUGAGGGACGAAAGUUAGGGGCGCGAACCGGAUUAGAUACCCGGGUAGUCCUAACUGUAAACGAUGCGGACUUGGUGUUGGGGUGGCUUUGAGCUGCUCCAGUGCCGAAGGGAAGCUGUUAAGUCCGCCGCCUGGGAAGUACGGUCGCAAGACUGAAACUUA
This 739-nucleotide ribosomal RNA is filed under the name uncultured archaeon. Its description in RNAcentral is "bacterial SSU rRNA". It matches the Rfam family "Archaeal small subunit ribosomal RNA", at positions 119 to 858 of the family's 1478-position model. The record is from RNAcentral.